Molecule: ribosomal RNA, 500 nt
Filed under: uncultured bacterium
Lineage: Bacteria
Description: bacterial SSU rRNA
Rfam family: Bacterial small subunit ribosomal RNA
Source: RNAcentral
CUGGCCUUCGGGCUGGUGUACAGGUGGUGCAUGGUUGUCGUCAGCUCGUGUCGUGAGAUGUUGGGUUAAGUCCCGCAACGAGCGCAACCCUCGUUCUAUGUUGCCAGCGCGUGAUGGUGGGGACUCAUAGGAGACUGCCGGGGUCAACUCGGAGGAAGGUGGGGAUGACGUCAAAUCAUCAUGCCCCUUAUGUCUUGGGCUUCACGCAUGCUACAAUGGCCGGUACAAAGGGUUGCGAAGCCGUGAGGUGGAGCGAAUCCCAAAAAACCGGUCUCAGUUCGGAUUGGGGUCUGCAACUCGACCCCAUGAAGUCGGAGUCGCUAGUAAUCGCAGAUCAGCAACGCUGCGGUGAAUACGUUCCCGGGCCUUGUACACACCGCCCGUCAAGUCACGAAAGUCGGUAACACCCGAAGCCGGUGGCCCAACCCUUGUGGGGGGAGCCGUCGAAGGUGGGACUGGCGAUUGGGACUAAGUCGUAACAAGGUAGCCGUACCGGAAGG